GAUGAACGCUGGCGGCGUGCCUAAUACAUGCAAGUCGAACGGUACUCUUUCGGGAGUACAGUGGCGAACGGGUGAGUAAUACAUAAGGAACCUGCCCUCGGGACCGGGAUAGCUGAUGGAAACGUCAGGUAAUAGCGGAUGUGAGUCAUUAUGGCAUCAUGAUGACUUGAAAGGAUGCAGCAAUGCAUCGCGCGGGGAUGGCCUUAUGGCGCAUUAGCCAGUUGGCGGGGUAACGGCCCACCAAAGCGAUGAUGCGUAGCCGAUCUGAGAGGACGACCGGCCACAUUGGGACUGAGACACGGCCCAGACUCCUACGGGAGGCAGCAGUGGGGAAUAUUGCACAAUGGGCGCAAGCCUGAUGCAGCGACGCCGCGUGAGCGAAGAAGGUUUUCGGAUCGUAAAGUUCUGUUCUCUGGGAAGAAAAAUAGACGGUACCAGAGGAGGAAGCCCUGGCUAACUACGUGCCAGCAGCCG
RNAcentral lists this ribosomal RNA (474 nucleotides) under uncultured bacterium. RNAcentral's name for it is "bacterial SSU rRNA". It matches the Rfam family "Bacterial small subunit ribosomal RNA", at positions 28 to 517 of the family's 1533-position model. The record is from RNAcentral.